GACGAACGCUGGCGGCGUGCUUAACACAUGCAAGUCGAACGGAAAGGCCCUGCUUUUGUGGGGUGCUCGAGUGGCGAACGGGUGAGUAACACGUGAGUAACCUGCCCUUGACUUUGGGAUAACUUCAGGAAACUGGGGCUAAUACCGGAUAGGAGCUCCUGCUGCAUGGUGGGUUUUGGAAAGUUUCGGCGGUUGGGGAUGGACUCGCGGCUUAUCAGCUUGUUGGUGGGGUAGUGGCUUACCAAGGCUUUGACGGGUAGCCGGCCUGAGAGGGUGACCGGCCAAAUUGGGACUGAGAUACGGCCCAGACUCCUACGGGAGGCAGCAGUGGGGAAUAUUGCACAAUGGGCGGAAGCCUGAUGCAGCAACGCCGCGUGCGGGAUGACGGCCUUCGGGUUGUAAACCGCUUUCGCCUGUGACGAAGCGUGAGUGACGGUAAUGGGUAAAGAAGCACCGGCUAACUACGUG
RNAcentral lists this ribosomal RNA (468 nucleotides) under uncultured bacterium. Its description in RNAcentral is "partial 16S ribosomal RNA". It matches the Rfam family "Bacterial small subunit ribosomal RNA", at positions 28 to 507 of the family's 1533-position model. The record is from RNAcentral.